Molecule: long non-coding RNA, 2642 nt
Filed under: Salvia miltiorrhiza (redroot sage)
Lineage: Eukaryota; Viridiplantae; Streptophyta; Magnoliopsida; Lamiales; Lamiaceae
Description: long non-coding RNA (SMIL_LNC007248)
Source: RNAcentral
GUCGCGAUGAUGUACCAAGAUAUUGGGAAGAUGGAUACGGCCCUUAGAUACUUGCAAGAAGCAUUGAAAAAGAAUGAGAGACUGUUAGGAGAGGAACAUAUUCAGACUGCAGUGUGUUACCAUGCUUUGGCAAUUGCUUUCAACUGUAUGGGAGCCUUUAAGCUAUCUCACCAGGUAUAUGCCGAUUGCGGAAUAUUGAUAUCUAUGUGAACUUAUGGUGUGUGGAAGUGUAACAUCCCUUAAUGUUAUUUGAUCUUUGAUAUGGCAGCACGAAACAAAAACAUAUGAUAUUCUUCUCAAACAACUUGGUGAGGACGACUCUAGGACAAAGGAUUCUCAGAACUGGAUGAAAACUUUCAAGAUGCGUGAACUGCAAGUAAUGCUCUAUUCAAGUUUAUUCAGGAAGUUGUUUGCUUUUACUUGUUUUUAUUUAUUAGUUAAAUGGAUAUUCUUACCUUCCAAGAGAGCAUAAAAUAUUGUUUGUAUUACAGUUGAAUGCACAAAAGCAAAAAGGACAGGCUUUGAAUCCAUCUUCUGCUCAGAAGGCUAUUGAUAUAAUUAAGGUAUUCACUAAAUCCAUUCUCCUGUUUUUUAAUGCCUUUUGUAUAUCUCAGUAUUCAUGUGCUUUACUUUCCACAAGGGUUAAGAAACAAGUGUGCAUUGUCAUUUUGUCAAGAGAAAACCUACUUCCAACCUCCCAGGGUGAUAUAAAAAUUCUUUAUUGUGAAUCUAACCGGUGCCUGAUCUUGCUUUCAAUUUUUUCUUGCAAUUAAACCUAGUGCUAUCUUCAAGUUCAAGUCGGAGAGAGUCAAUUCUCGCACAUAAAUGGAACUUCUAGUGUGAUCCUGUAAAUACUCUGCAUUUGGUAUAUUUAUGAUUUGCUGCGACCUUCGUUGCUAAUACAAACAUGUGUUGAGUUGUGCAAAAUAAACAUUUUGUAGAAAAUUUAGCGAGUGUGCUUAUUUUGGUGUAUAGUCAAUUUUCAGUAACACAGUUGAUACUUUAUAUGAAUGACAGGCCCACCCAGACCUGCUACAAGCAUUUCAAGCAGCUGCAGUAGCUGGGAGUUCUAGUAGUACUAGUCAUGUGGGGAAGAAAUCGUUAAAUGGUGCUGUGGUUGGUGCUGCAAGAGGUUUGGAUGAAAGAGCGAGGAAAAGAGCAGCAGCAAAGGCCCUUUUGGUACGCAGGCAUGGUGGUCCUGCACAGGCUUCACCGCCGACCUCUAACAUCAUAAACUCAGGGGAGCCACUACCAACGGAUGUUGCUGUAAAUGAGGCCUCCGAUGGAGGGAAGAAAGAAUCCGACAACCAAACCUCAAAUGGAGUGCUGGGUUCAGAAGGUCAUGAACCCAAGCCAGGUCAGCAAGAUCAGGCUCCGGUUGGAUUAGGCCCGGGCUUGGCUGCCUUGGAUGCCAAGAAGCUGAAACCAAAAUCCAAAGCGAAAGCAACAACUGCCGAGUCUUCUACCUGAGCCUGACUACAUUUUGAUUCUUUUUGUUAGGUGUAGUUUUGGUCAGUCUGAAUUACGUUUCACACCUGCAAUUGAGUUAUACAUUCUGCUUUGAUCCAUAAUUAGUUUAUGGAUACAUUCUGCUUUUGAAGCAUGAUUAGUUUACAGAUGCACUAAACUCUUCCAAAGUUCUAUUAAUAAGUGUGCUAUGACAAUUUUGCAUUUAGAGAGUAUUUCUCUGCAAUUGUUAUUUUAUGAAAUUCUUCAUAAUUUUGAAGCCCUCAUUAUUAUGUUUCUGUGCUACCCUUCAUAUCUAUACAUAUAUAAAAGCUGGUCCAUCUAGCCAAAAAAAUUUCCCGCCCUUUUACUCAAUUUAUUUUUGGAAAGUUGAUCUAUAUUUGGAAAGUUGCCUAAUUUAUAGGAAGAUAUAUAUAUAUAUAUAUAUAUAUAUAUAUAUAUUUCUUAAUUAAGUAAUUAAAAUUUAAUUGAACGACAUUUAUUCCCAUCAUCUAUAUAUGAAAUUUAUAUGUAAAAAAUUUGUAGAUCACUAAUUUCAAUUAAAUCUUUUGUGAGAAAUAUUCAUCCAAUAAAUAAAAUUCAAAAUAUAAAUACAUAUAAAUUGCAUGGGAUCUUGUAGUCAUUUGCAAAAGUGAAUAUUCUUUUUGAUUUACACGCAAUUUUAGACUAUAGAUUGUUUUUGAAUUCAAGAGAAUAAAAAAUUAUUUACGAACUCGUAGCAAUAUCUCAUAUAAAUUAUUUUUGAUUUACACGCUAUCUCAUAGAUUGAUUUCUAAUUAUUUUCAAUUAAAUCUUUUGGAGAUAAACAAAAGAAGGGCUAUAUAAGGCGGCGAUUAAUUUUUUGUUGUGAUUUUGCAAAGUAUGACAAAUAAUAAUAAUAAUAAUAAUAAUAAUAAUAAUAAUAAUAAUAAUAAUAAUAAUAAUAAUAAUANCGGGCAUUGCUUCUUUUAAGUUUGUCAUCUGGUCCAGAUCACCCUGAUGUCGCUGCCACUUUCAUAAAUGUCGCGAUGAUGUACCAAGAUAUUGGGAAGAUGGAUACGGCCCUUAGAUACUUGCAAGAAGCAUUGAAAAAGAAUGAGAGACUGUUAGGAGAGGAACAUAUUCAGACUGCAGUGUGUUACCAUGCUUUGGCAAUUGCUUUCAACUGUAUGGGAGCCUUUAAGCUAUCUCACCAG